CGCCGCCCGCCUCGACUUCGCAGCCAAUCGCCAAAGGCACAGCGCGAAUCCCGCCAGAGCUCGCGGCGUCUUCAGGAAGAACUAAACCAUGUUGGCCGGAGCACUGUGCCGUGAAAGAAAAGCAGUCUGUGUGGAAAUAACCCAGAAGUGGAGCAAACAUCCACAGAAUAAUUUGAAGAUUACUGAUGUUAGUUCUCCUUUGAAGAAUUCUUCCCCGAGUCCAUCUGCUCCUGGGGUUUUCUAAGUUGGGAGAUUUUUUUAAAUAAAAGAUCUCCCAUCAUAAUCAACUUGGUAUCAUCCCAGAGAUGCAGAGAUGACUGAACAUAUGUAAAUCAACAAAUUAAUAAAUGUAAUAUGGCACAUAAAGAUUUAAGGACAGAAACCAAAUGAUUAUCUCCCCAGAUGCA
Molecule: long non-coding RNA, 407 nt
Organism: Nannospalax galili (Upper Galilee mountains blind mole rat)
Lineage: Eukaryota; Metazoa; Chordata; Mammalia; Rodentia; Spalacidae
Exons: 3
Source: RefSeq, a predicted model, not a curated record